CACACCAUUGCUGCAUCAUGUGGAUCAGCGCCUGCAUGCCUCACAUGGCCCCAUCCGAAUAUGUCUAUUCCAGUUUUCUGUGCGUCAUACGGAACAAAUACAAUCACAUCGUAUCUGGCGCCUACCUACGCCCCACCUAGCGUGUACUCGCCUACGCCCUCGUCCACUACCCCGUGACCCAGCUGCCCCAUCCACCCAAGCGGGACACAAUUCAAAAUUUGAAUCCCCUCACGCAGCUGCAGCCUCAUCGCCAUGAACAACCGCGCCCCCUGUUCCUGCGCCUGGAUCUGAUGAUUUCUUCAUGAUUCACCUAUGAAUCUCGGUGCGGAAUAAUUAUCGGAUCUCCUGUUCAGCUUCUGUUCCCAAGCCCCAGCCGGUCGCAACCGAGGGCGUCCCAAAUCUGGGAUUGCUAAAGGAGGAGGACGACGACCAGUGCAUUCAUCCUAAUUCCCAGAGCGAUUCUCCAUACUCCAGCCAAGAUGGAGAGAAAUAUGGUGCUACUAAUACAGGAUCUCAAGUUCAUGAGGCCACGCCAGAUUUUUUCAAUGUCCCAGAUAUUGACAACAAUGACAUUCACAGAGAGCCCCCAUCUGAAUCGCAACACACUCCAGCUCUGUGGCCUCAAAGGAUCCGACAGAAGCGACAAGGCGGCGAUUCUGAUCAGCUCUAUCUCCAGCAAUCGGUUACAGACAUGUGGGUGCCUAUUCCUUGGUGCCAUAUGCAAAUUGGGCAACUCGUCCUUCAGACCUUCCGUUGUUCAUGUACGAGCAGCAUUAUAUGCCCAGCUGGCUCUCCCUACUUUUUUUUCCUUUUGCAGAGCGGUGGAAGGUAGGUGAAGCAAAAUGUAAGACAUUUUUUGAUACUACAUUUUAAGACAGAGAGAGUAAUAAGUAAAACCGGCCCCUAUGUCUUACGGGAGCAAUCUUCUUGAAACACAGAAGCUUAUAGAUGCAAUAGUUAGGAAGACAUCGACAACUGCAAAUUGGAUAGAUCACCGUCCCAGAGAAGCCGUCACCGAGAAGAGCCACACAAGAUAAUCCCAACUUUGGCGGGAUCAAAAAUGAGGCCACAAACCUCACAAGUUUUUCAACAGAACCGUAUUUGGCUACAGCUAGCUAUACAUAAGUCGCCUGAUUUUUAAAUUUGGGUAAGUCCUUUAUUUUUCUUGUGCUGUUGUAUGACUUUUUUUUUUGCGGGUGGCUGUUGUAUGACUUCUUAGGUUGAUUUUUGACUUCCCCCUGUUUAGGCAAGUCG
Molecule: long non-coding RNA, 1254 nt
Organism: Triticum aestivum (bread wheat)
Lineage: Eukaryota; Viridiplantae; Streptophyta; Magnoliopsida; Poales; Poaceae
Exons: 3
Source: RefSeq, a predicted model, not a curated record